RNAcentral lists this ribosomal RNA (468 nucleotides) under uncultured bacterium. Its description in RNAcentral is "partial 16S ribosomal RNA". It matches the Rfam family "Bacterial small subunit ribosomal RNA", at positions 28 to 507 of the family's 1533-position model. The record is from RNAcentral.
GACGAACGCUGGCGGCGUGCUUAACACAUGCAAGUCGAACGGCAAGGCCCUGAUUUCGUGGGGUGCUCGAGUGGCGAACGGGUGAGUAACACGUGAGUAACCUGCUCUUGACUUUGGGAUAACUUCAGGAAACUGGGGUUAAUAUCGGAUAGGAGCCCCCGUAGCAUGGUGGGGGUUGGAAAGUUUCGGCGGUAGUGGAUGGAUUCGCGGCUUAUCAGCUUGUUGGUGGGGUAGUGGCUUACCAAGGCUUUGACGGGUAGCCGGCCUGAGAGGGUGACCGGCCACAUUAGUACUGAGAUACGGCCCAGACUCCUACAGUAGACAACGGGGGGGAGUAUUGCACAGUGGGCGGGAGCCUGAUGCAGCAGCGCCGCGUGCGGAAUGACGGCCUUCGGGUAGUGAACCGCAUUCGCCUGUGACGAAGCGUGAGUGACGGUAAUGAGUAAAGAAGCACCGGCUAACUACGUG